GACGAACGCUGGCGGCGUGCUUAACACAUGCAAGUCGAACGGAAAGGCCCUGCUUUUGUGGGGUGCUCGAGUGGCGAACGGGUGAGUAACACGUGAGUAACCUGCCCUUGACUUUGGGAUAACUUCAGGAAACUGGGGCUAAUACCGGAUAGGAGCUCCUGCUGCAUGGUGGGGGUUGGAAAGUUUCGGCGGUUGGGGAUGGACUCGCGGCUUAUCAGCUUGUUGGUGGGGUAGUGGCUUACCAAGGCUUUGACGGGUAGCCGGCCUGAGAGGGUGACCGGCCACACUGGGACUGAGAUACGGCCCAGACUCCUACGGGAGGCAGCGGUGGGGAAUAUUGCACAAUGGGCGGAAGCCUGAUGCAGCAACGCCGCGUGCGGGAUGACGGCCUUCGGGUUGUAAACCGCUUUCGCCUGUGACGAAGCGUGAGUGACGGUAAUGGGUAAAGAAGCACCGGCUAACUACGUG
Molecule: ribosomal RNA, 468 nt
Filed under: uncultured bacterium
Lineage: Bacteria
Description: partial 16S ribosomal RNA
Rfam family: Bacterial small subunit ribosomal RNA
Source: RNAcentral